RNAcentral lists this ribosomal RNA (389 nucleotides) under uncultured bacterium. Its description in RNAcentral is "bacterial SSU rRNA". It matches the Rfam family "Bacterial small subunit ribosomal RNA", at positions 30 to 419 of the family's 1533-position model. The record is from RNAcentral.
AUUGAACGCUGGCGGCGUGCCUUACACAUGCAAGUCGAACGGCAGCACGGGAGCAAUCCUGGUGGCGAGUGGCGAACGGGUGAGUAAUAUAUCGGAACGUGCCCAGUCGUGGGGAUAACGUAGCGAAAGCUACGCUAAUACCGCAUACGAUCUAUGGAUGAAAGCGGGGGAUCGCAAGACCUCGCGCGAUUGGAGCGGCCGAUAUCAGAUUAGGUAGUUGGUGAGGUAAAGGCUCACCAAGCCGACGAUCUGUAGCUGGUCCUGAGAGGACGACAGCCACACUGGGACUGAGACACGGCCCAGACUCCUACGGAGGCAGCAGUGGGGAAUUUUUGGGACAAUGGGCGCAAGCCUGAUCCAGCAAUGCCGCGUGCAGGAUGAAGGCCUUC